This 500-nucleotide ribosomal RNA is filed under the name uncultured bacterium. RNAcentral describes it as "partial 16S ribosomal RNA". It matches the Rfam family "Bacterial small subunit ribosomal RNA", at positions 30 to 523 of the family's 1533-position model. The record is from RNAcentral.
AUUGAACGCUGGCGGCAGGCCUAACACAUGCAAGUCGAGCGGUUGAAGGGAGCUUGCUCCCUGAUUCAGCGGCGGACGGGUGAGUAAUGCCUAGGUAUCUGCCUAUUAGUGGGGGACAACGUUUCGAAGGGAACGUUAAUACCGCAUACGUCCUACGGGAGAAAGCAGGGGCCCUUCGGUUCUUGCGCUAAUAGAGGAGCCUAGGUCGGAUUAGCUUGUUGGUGAGGUAAUGGCUCACCAAGGCGACGAUCCGUAACUGGUCUGAGAGGAUGAUCAGUCACACUGGAACUGAGACACGGUCCAGACUCCUACGGGAGGCAGCAGUGGGGAAUAUUGGACAAUGGGCGAAAGCCUGAUCCAGCCAUGCCGCGUGUGUGAAGAAGGUCUUCGGAUUGUAAAGCACUUUAAGUUGGGAGGAAGGGUUGUAGAUUAAUACUCUGCAAUUUUGACGUUACCGACAGAAUAAGCACCGGCUAACUCUGUGCCAGCAGCCGCCGUAA